Molecule: long non-coding RNA, 2014 nt
Organism: Macaca fascicularis (crab-eating macaque)
Lineage: Eukaryota; Metazoa; Chordata; Mammalia; Primates; Cercopithecidae
Source: Ensembl
GCAAGGAGCAACUGUAAUAUUGUGGGACUAACAUGGAUGUAACGUUAAAAAAAAGAUCAGGAUUAUUAGUAACAAUUCUAGUAUUUUCCUCCCACCUUCUCCCUCUCCUCUCUCCUCUAUUAUUUUCUCUCUUUUCCCCUCCCUUCCUGUACAUUUUCCUCCACUUUUUUUCAUUACUCAACUUGUUCCCCAAGAAGGUAGUGUACUAGGAUCCUAUUAGUCUGCUUUUCAUAUACUGUACAUCAAGUAUAGGAAAUGUGCACUGAGUAUACUAAAAGUAUAUGCAGGAUUAAUUUUACAUAAAGGCCUCUUCUGUAACAUUUCUCUAUUUUUAGAAAUACAAUUGCAAUAACUUCAGUCUUUUUACAUUCUUCUGCUGCAUCCAUACAAUGCUCCACUGCUGUUGAGUGUCCUUUAACUGUGGACCAAAGGCAACCCCUGCAGUGUUUAUAAAACAAUUUAAAGACCAUUCAGGCCACAUAAGAUGAGAAUGCAAUUUUGUAGGAUUACAAAAAAGCCAUUAAUAUGCCAGUCAAGACUACAGUUAAAACUACUCUUGCACUGCAACAGUGCAUAUGACCUUUAUGUGAUUGUACAGUAUUAAAAGUUUUUUCUUAUGUACAGUAAACUUUAUCAUAUGGCAGAAGCCUCUAUUGUGUUAAAUAAAUUAGUAUUUCAUAUAUAUACAUAUAUAUGCACCUAUAUAAUGUGUAUAUAUAUAUAAAAAGGCGGCCAUUGCUAUUGCAAUUCAUUUAAUAAAGCUUUAGUUUAAACAAAAGUAUUGUAUACAGGAACUAUGUAUAGUGCAGGGGUUCUUUUCAGUUAGAAAAGGCAGGUUGCUUUAAUGUUAUUCUGACUCGCAUUGUUUGCCAACGGAAAAUAUUUUAUACUUUUGUUAUUAAAGCAUCCAGGGCAAUUUAAUAUUUGUUCCUAGAUGUAACUCAUUUGAAUAGGUUUCGCAUUUGUUAUUCAGCAGUGUAUAAAGCUAACCUUGAUACUUUUACUUUUAAUUAAUUAUCUAAAUGAAAAAUGCUAUUAGCUGAACCACAUCCACAACAGCACAUAGAGCUCUAGGAGAGUUGAAACAUAGAUCAUUGAAGGUUACUAAUCCUCUUCCAAAGCAGCAAGUCAAUCAAUACAAUUAUGAUAUUUGGGGAGGGGUGGGAGCCCUUAAGAACUAUUGAUGUGGCCUUAAAUUACUGUCAUUUAUUAUCCUAAAGAAGAAAACAUAAUAACCAUAAUGGGCUCUCAACUCAACCCCCUUUUUUAUUUAGUUCUAUUUGGAGGAGUUAUGUAUUUUUUACAUUAGUGCCAAGUAUAUAGAAGGAUGACAGCAAAAACAGUGCCUCUUUGUGCACAACCCUUUUAAAGUAGCUUUCUUACUUGUUAGAAAUGUAGGAUGAACUUUGUUUGUAAUCCUUAAAUUAAAAUGUGGUAAGUAGGAAACAAGAACUUAUUCUGUGUUUUUACGCAGCCAUACACUUACUUUAAUCUAAUUCAUUCUGUGGCUAGGAUUGAUAUAGGAAUCAACCUCUGUGAUUUGCUUUAGGAGAAAUUAAAAGGUAUAUUCUUAAGAUAUAUUAUAUUUUGAUGCUAAUUCUGUUCUGGGGAGCAUCUUGUAUUGUCACUGUUUUGUACUAAAUCUUCAAAUAUUGUCUACUGUGUAAGGCAGAAAAAUUUCUCAUCAUGCAAAAACCAUUUUGUUUCCAGGGUAACAAGUACCUAAGUGCAUGCACAACUUGUUUUCCCUUGUAACAUUCAUGAUCUCAUUUACAACUCUGAUUUUAAAACAAAAAAAUCUUUACAACAAGCUAUAUAGGGACAUACCAGAUGUUGCAGUGAUUUUAGCUAUCAACAAACUGUUAACCAUGUACAAUAUUUAAAAUAGGCUUAUUUUGAUGUAUCGCCUAUUAUACAAACACACAAAACAUUUUUGGAGGCCUCAGUUAUGAGUGACAGAGCUUUCUGUGUAUAAUUUGUCUAAAUAAUUUGUCUAAUAAAAAUGUUUUCUAAA